This 389-nucleotide ribosomal RNA is filed under the name uncultured bacterium. RNAcentral describes it as "bacterial SSU rRNA". It matches the Rfam family "Bacterial small subunit ribosomal RNA", at positions 28 to 417 of the family's 1533-position model. The record is from RNAcentral.
GACGAACGCUGGCGGCGUGCUUAACACAUGCAAGUCGAGCGGUAAGGCCCUUUCGGGGGUACACGAGCGGCGAACGGGUGAGUAACACGUGGGUGACCUGCCCUCAGCUCUGGGAUAAGCCUGGGAAACCGGGUCUAAUACCGGAUAUGACUCCAUGACGCAUGUUGUGGGGUGGAAAGCCUUGUGCGGCUGAGGAUGGGCCCGCGGCCUAUCAGCUUGUUGGUGGGGUGAUGGCCUACCAAGGCGACGACGGGUAGCCGGCCUGAGAGGGCGACCGGCCACACUGGGACUGAGACACGGCCCAGACUCCUACGGGAGGCAGCAGGUGGGGAAUCUUGCGCAAUGGGCGAAAGCCUGACGCAGCGACGCCGCGUGAGGGAUGACGGCCU